AUGUACACAAUUUUCCUGCCUUGCCACUGCAGCCACAAGAACUUGACUUAYUGGGAAUUACACAGGCUGCAUUCUGCUUUUAUCUAAAUUAUACUGCAAGGGCACCUACCAAAGAGAGUGACGUUGAUGUAUCAUCUCCCUCAGGCAUUUAUGCCAAUACAUCUGUAUGGUGUAAUCACACCACCUCAGGUCAAAUAACACCUGGACCACAACCCAUAGGGUUGGCUGCUAAGAUAUUCUUAAUUUGUGGUCAGAGAGCCUGGAAAGGUGUACCAGGUAAAGCUGUGGGGGGACCAUGUAUCUUUGGACUUUUGACAAUAUUCCAUCCCGAAAAAUGGUUAAUUGAUGGAACGGUCCAUCUUCGAGCAAAGCGAUCCACCCACRGCUUUAYGUCAGGUUGCRAUAGUARCGUAGAAUUUUGGAAUCCAGCAGAACGUAUCUUGAGUAGUAUUUUUGCAGGAAUAGGGACUGCUCAUGCUUUAUCACAGCUUAACAGAUUAGGAUGCUGGCUUGCAAAAGAAAAAAAAAAAAAAAAAAGAAGAGUUUAUGCAUGUUCAGUGGAGCAUUAACAGUUGCCAUACUCUGCCUUGUGGAGAGAAUUGCCAGUGCAAUUUGACUGGGGAAUAAUGAAGCAAGAAGUAAGGACCUGCAAUUAAUUUUUUUGCUCCCUUGCACGUCACUUUGUUUCAAACAGUUGAGUCACUGACUGAUUUACCAAAUAGAGUAUGUUAUUGAUUCACUCUUCAGUCACAUCCCCGUUUUUACCUGGAUGUGUUGCAACCAGAAUUGUGAAAUUAUCUCACACACUGAGGUCUACUUGACCCCUGUCAGCCUAGCAGUCUAUGAAAUUUUAGUCAUUGAUCUGAACAUGGUGGAUAUCUUGAUGUACAAUGUUCAGAGAACUAUUUAACUAUAAUUUUCCUGACUCAUAUACCUUUUUUUUUUUUCUCUUUAUAGUCUUUUAGAGCUUUGGAAAGUUAUGUCAUUGCUGAAGGAGGUGUAACCAAGUAUAGUCUGAAUAGAUCAUUAAUAAACAGCAGUGUAAAGGACA
This 1051-nucleotide long non-coding RNA is filed under the name Apteryx haastii (Great spotted kiwi). Its description in RNAcentral is "lncRNA (ENSAHAG00000004833.1)". Lineage: Eukaryota; Metazoa; Chordata; Aves; Apterygiformes; Apterygidae. The record is from RNAcentral.